GUCUACCCCACCAGCCUGCAGCCACCUAUCAAAAUACAUCCUUGUAAGGCUGAAGACAGCAUCCUAUUACUUGUUCUUAGUUUAGCAUUAGAAUUUAUCUUGGAAAAAUAAUAAAUCUAAGGAUGUGUGAAUUACGAGUUCAGCAAGAAGUUUUCACUUAAUUAAUAUUUCUUAACUGUUUCUGUUCAGAAUAAUAAUAUUAUAUUAACAAUAAUAACAUAAGCUGAAGGAAGAAAACGUAACACCUAUCCUUACCAUCUCCUUCUAAGAACAAGUCAAGGAAAGCAGUCCAGGUAUCUACAGUGGGAAGGUUUGGAUUCUCUCGGUAAUAAUGAUACAUGGAAACGGCAGUAUCUUUUGGAUUUCUGCUGAUAUAGAUCAUCUGUAAAUGAAGAAAAUAUGUUUAUUAAUGAUGAUGUUCUUUCUUUAUUUUGUAGGAGCUGUGUGCACAAAUGUGGCAUUUUCACAUGCAGUUCCAGCGUCAAAACUCUUUCCUUCAGGAUUUGUCCAUCCUUAAUGACUGUGUCAUUAAGAUAGAAAUGUAUUUGUUCCCGUUGAAGCAGAAGUAAGCAGUGGUUAGCAAACACUAUCUUGUAGACAAAGAACAGCUGCAAGAUGUCAAUUUUUGCCUUUCAUUGAAAUUAGACUUGUCCCAAAAGUCUGGAUUUGGAUAAUCCUGAAACUUAAAACUUCUGACAUAAAAUCUGCGGCCCAGAAGUUCAUUUUUGUGAGCCUCUCAUGUACACAGCAAACCACUUCUGGAAACUGUAAGUCAUUUUAAAGUUUUUAAGGAUCAACUAGACAGAAUAGAUGCCUAACAGACCUUUAACGUAUCUUACAGCUUUUAUAACUUUUUGACUUACCUUGCAUUUUUUAUUCUUAAAAUGUUGAGGCAACAUGUUGUAGUCUAAGUGUGUUGGGAUGAUUCUCUUUGAUGACAGUUGAUUCAGUUCCUCCAGUUUGGACAUGUCUCCAAGUUCAAUGGGAGUUGUUAAUGUAACUGGAGUAUUGUAAAGCUUUGUUAUGACUCCUGCAAGCCA
Gallus gallus (chicken) is the source of this 1040-nucleotide long non-coding RNA. RefSeq lists it as uncharacterized. The record is from RefSeq and is a predicted model, not a curated record. Lineage: Eukaryota; Metazoa; Chordata; Aves; Galliformes; Phasianidae. The transcript has 2 exons.